AGGGUGAAUUGUAAGAAUAACCUA
RNAcentral lists this non-coding RNA (24 nucleotides) under Arabidopsis thaliana (thale cress). The record is from RNAcentral. Lineage: Eukaryota; Viridiplantae; Streptophyta; Magnoliopsida; Brassicales; Brassicaceae.